This is a non-coding RNA of Vicugna pacos (alpaca), 200 nucleotides long. The record is from RefSeq and is a predicted model, not a curated record. NCBI's taxonomy places the organism in Eukaryota, Metazoa, Chordata, Mammalia, Artiodactyla, Camelidae.
GACAUAUAUAUCACACCCAAUCAAGAUAAACACUAUACCAACUAUCUUCCCAAUUUUCCUUUUGACUUUCAGAAUUCUCCAUCCUCAAGCAACCACUGGCCUGCUUUCUGUCACUCUAGAUUUCGUUUGCAUCUUCUAGAACUUUACGUAAAUGGAGUCAUACAUAUGUAUCUUCUCUUUGUCUAGGUUUUCUUUAAGUC